GAUGAACGCUGACAGAAUGCUUAACACAUGCAAGUCAACUUGAACUUCGGUUUGGGUGGCGGACGGGUGAGUAACGCGUAAAGAACUUGCCUCACAGUUAGGGGCAACAUUUGGAAACGAAUGCUAAUACCUGAUAUUAUGAUUUUAGGGCAUCCUAGAAUUAUGAAAGCUAUAUGCGCUGUGAGAGAGCUUUGCGUCCCAUUAGCUAGUUGGAGAGGUAACGGCUCACCAAGGCGAUGAUGGGUAGCCGGCCUGAGAGGGUGAACGGCCACAAGGGGACUGAGACACGGCCCUUACUCCUACGGGAGGCAGCAGUGGGGAAUAUUGGACAAUGGACCAAGAGUCUGAUCCAGCAAUUCUGUGUGCACGAUGAAGUUUUUCGGAAUGUAAAGUGCUUUCAGUUGGGAAGAAAAAAAUGACGAUACCAACAGAAGAAGUGACGGCUAAAUACGUG
This 454-nucleotide ribosomal RNA is filed under the name uncultured bacterium. Its description in RNAcentral is "partial 16S ribosomal RNA". It matches the Rfam family "Bacterial small subunit ribosomal RNA", at positions 28 to 507 of the family's 1533-position model. The record is from RNAcentral.